GAAACGACUGCUAAGACUGGAUAGGAGACAAGAAGGCAUCUUCUUGUUUUUAAAAGACCUAGCAAUAGGUAUGCUUAGGGAGGAGCUUGCGUCACAUUAGUUAGUUGGUGGGGUAAAGGCCUACCAAGACUAUGAUGUGUAGCCGGGCUGAGAGGUUGAACGGCCACAUUGGGACUGAGACACGGCCCAAACUCCUACGGGAGGCAGCAGUAGGGAAUUUUCGGCAAUGGAGGAAACUCUGACCGAGCAACGCCGCGUGAACGAUGAAGUAUUUCGGUACGUAAAGUUCUUUUAUUAGGGAAGAAUAAAUGAUGGAAAAAUCAUUCUGACGGUACCUAAUGAAUAAGCCCCGGCUAACUAUGUGCCAGCAGCCGCGGUAAUACAUAGGGGGCAAGCGUUAUCCGGAAUUAUUGGGCGUAAAGGGUGCGUAGGCGGUUAAAUAAGUUUAUGGUCUAAGUGCAAUGCUCAACAUUGUGAUGCUAUAAAAACUGUUUAGCUAGAGUAAGAUAGAGGCAAGUGGAAUUCCAUGUGUAGUGGUAAAAUGCGUAAAUAUAUGGAGGAACACCAGUAGCGAAGGCGGCUUGCUGGGUCUUUACUGACGCUGAGGCACGAAAGCGUGGGGAGCAAACAGGAUUAGAUACCCUGGUAGUCCACGCCGUAAACGAUGAGUACUAAACGUUGGGUAAAACCAGUGUUGAAGUUGACACAUUAAGUACUCCGCCUGAGUAGUACGUACGCAAGUAUGAAACUUAAAGGAAUUGACGGGACUCCGCACAAGCGGUGGAUCAUGUUGUUUAAUUCGAAGGUACCCGAAAAACCUCACCAGGUCUUGACAUGCUUCUGCAAAGCUGUAGAAGCACAGUGGAGGUUAUCAGUUGCACAGGUGGUGCAUGGUUGUCGUCAGCUCGUGUCGUGAGAUGUUGGGUUAAGUCCCGCAACGAGCGCAACCCUUAUUGUUAGUUACCAGCACGUAAUGGUGGGGACUUUAGCAAGACUGCCAGUGAUGAAUUGGAGGAAGGUGGGGACGACGUCAAAUCAUCAUGCCCCUUAUGACCUGGGCUACAAACGUGAUACAAUGGCUGUUACAAAGGGUAGCUGAAGCGCAAGUUUUUGGCGAAUCUCAAAAAAACAGUCUCAGUUCGGAUUGAAGUCUGCAACUCGACUUCAUGAAGUUGGAAUCGCUAGUAAUCGCGAAUCAGCAUGUCGCGGUGAAUACGUUCGCGGGGUUUGUACACACCGCCCGUCA
This 1246-nucleotide ribosomal RNA is filed under the name 'Fraxinus sp.' phytoplasma. RNAcentral describes it as "bacterial SSU rRNA". It matches the Rfam family "Bacterial small subunit ribosomal RNA", at positions 153 to 1399 of the family's 1533-position model. The record is from RNAcentral. Lineage: Bacteria; Bacillati; Mycoplasmatota; Mollicutes; Acholeplasmatales; Acholeplasmataceae.